Molecule: non-coding RNA, 78 nt
Organism: Enterococcus devriesei
Lineage: Bacteria; Bacillati; Bacillota; Bacilli; Lactobacillales; Enterococcaceae
Source: Rfam
AUAAUGAUACUCCUACCUUGAACGCUUCACGGCAUUGGGUAGCUUCUCCAAGUUUGAGUUGAGGUGAAAUUCCUGUGG